Molecule: ribosomal RNA, 577 nt
Filed under: Klebsiella pneumoniae
Lineage: Bacteria; Pseudomonadati; Pseudomonadota; Gammaproteobacteria; Enterobacterales; Enterobacteriaceae
Description: partial 23S ribosomal RNA
Rfam family: Bacterial large subunit ribosomal RNA
Source: RNAcentral
AGCUUGACUGCGAGCGUGACGGCGCGAGCAGGUGCGAAAGCAGGUCAUAGUGAUCCGGUGGUUCUGAAUGGAAGGGCCAUCGCUCAACGGAUAAAAGGUACUCCGGGGAUAACAGGCUGAUACCGCCCAAGAGUUCAUAUCGACGGCGGUGUUUGGCACCUCGAUGUCGGCUCAUCACAUCCUGGGGCUGAAGUAGGUCCCAAGGGUAUGGCUGUUCGCCAUUUAAAGUGGUACGCGAGCUGGGUUUAGAACGUCGUGAGACAGUUCGGUCCCUAUCUGCCGUGGGCGCUGGAGAAUUGAGGGGGGCUGCUCCUAGUACGAGAGGACCGGAGUGGACGCAUCACUGGUGUUCGGGUUGUCAUGCCAAUGGCACUGCCCGGUAGCUAAAUGCGGAAGAGAUAAGUGCUGAAAGCAUCUAAGCACGAAACUUGCCCCGAGAUGAGUUCUCCCUGAGACUUUAAGUCUCCUGAAGGAACGUUGAAGACGACGACGUUGAUAGGCCGGGUGUGUAAGCGCAGCGAUGCGUUGAGCUAACCGGUACUAAUGAACCGUGAGGCUUAACCUUACAACGCCGAAG